CCUACGGGCGGCAGCAGUGAGGAAUAUUGGUCAAUGGACGAGAGCCUGAACCAGCCAAGUAGCGUGAAGGAUGACUGCCCUAUGGGUUGUAAACUUCUUUUAUAUGGGAAUAAAAUGUUCCACGUGUGGGAUUUUGUAUGUACUAUAUGAAUAAGGAUCGGCUAACUCCGUGCCAGCAGCCGCGGUAAUACGGAGGAUCCGAGCGUUAUCCGGAUUUAUUGGGUUUAAAGGGAGCGUAGGUGGAUUGUUAAGUCAGUUGUGAAAGUUUGCGGCUCAACCGUAAAAUUGCAGUUGAAACUGGCAGUCUUGAGUACAGUAGAGGUGGGCGGAAUUCGUGGUGUAGCGGUGAAAUGCUUAGAUAUCACGAAGAACUCCGAUUGCGAAGGCAGCUCACUGGACUGCAACUGACACUGAGGCUCGAAAGUGUGGGUAUCAAACAGGAUUAGAUACCCGAGUAGUC
This 460-nucleotide ribosomal RNA is filed under the name uncultured bacterium. RNAcentral describes it as "partial 16S ribosomal RNA". It matches the Rfam family "Bacterial small subunit ribosomal RNA", at positions 338 to 795 of the family's 1533-position model. The record is from RNAcentral.